GACGAACCGUCCAAACGUUAUUCGGAAUUACUGGGCUUAAAGGGUGCGUAGGCGGCGCGGAAAGUUGGGUGUGAAAUCCCUCGGCUCAACCGAGGAACUGCGCCCAAUACUACCGUGCUCGAGGGAGAUAGAGGUGAGCGGAACUUAGGGUGGAGCGGUGAAAUGCGUUGAUAUCCUAAGGAACACCGGUGGCGAAAGCUGCUCACUGGAUCUCUUCUGACGCUGAGGCACGAAAGCUAGGGUAGCGAACGGG
Molecule: ribosomal RNA, 253 nt
Filed under: uncultured bacterium
Lineage: Bacteria
Description: partial 16S ribosomal RNA
Rfam family: Bacterial small subunit ribosomal RNA
Source: RNAcentral